AGCAGUGAGCAAGCCCUCGCCCAGGGGAGAGUUUUUGUUCCAAAACUGAGUUGCCAAAUAUCCCAAGCCUCAGUUCAACCUUGUUUACUUCUGCUUGUGCAGCAGCUGAGCUUCACUCAGCAUUCAUGCAGGCUGGGGGGUAGUGAGAUUCAGACAUUAGUUCUGCCUGCCUGGAAGAGCCCCUGGGGAUCGCUGUGUCCUUCCAUAAUUAGGCACUGGGUUGUGGAGAACAUGACCACAGAGAGAAUGUGGAAAUGGGAAUGUCCUUGGAAAGGACGUUGCUGUCCACCUGGACACUGAGAUGCCAUUUCCCGUGGCAGGAGCUGAAGCUGCCUGAGCUUUUUCUAGAAGAUCCUCAAUAUAUUAAAUAGCUAUGGCUACAUAUCCUUCUGGGUUUGUAUCUGCAACAUCCACCAUGUGCAGUUGGGUGGUGUCCAUCCCACUGGCCAAAGGAUGAAUCUGCAACUACAGCAGCACCUUUUGCUCAUGGGACUACAGAAGGGAGCAGCUGUGCUGGACAUUUCUUGGCUUUUUCUCAGUGGAGAAGAGACCAAAUCUCGAUUUUAGUGUUUCCGCUGUCUGAGGCAUCUUUGUGAGGUCUGGUGACUGUCAAAAGUUUUCUCCUCUGUUUACUUUGCCCUGAGUUUUUUCACACAAGCCAAAUCUGAGGCUGUUAAUGCAGAGCAAGGAGCCCAUGUUGGUCUGCAGGUCCUUCCAUCCCUGAGGGUUUCAGCGUAAAUGUCUUACAUGUAAAUGGUCGUAAUUCAGUUAAAUUCCAUUACAAGGGGAACAAUCUGCUUUUCUGCAUGAACGGCUUUAUUUCCUAUAAGUUUUGAAGGAAAAAUGGAACAUUUUAAGUAAGUGGUGAAAAGCAUCUGCCUGUUAGGAAGAAAGCGAAGUUGCUUCCAUUUCACAAGAAAUAAUCGCACCCUCAACGUGCCCUUCCUGUUUCCAUCUCGUGGGCCUCUUCUCCUGGAAGAUGCCAGAGGUGUUGUCAAACCAUGAAAAUGCUGAGGAGAAAGUUCUGAAGGUUGGAAAGGAAAGUUAUGCUGGUUUCUCUGAACGUGUUUGUAGCUGGGUCUGUGAGAGCUGGCGAGCAGCUGGGGAGGCUCCAAGCCAUGAUAGCAACAGCUUUACUGGCAUUUGGAGACAAAGUGUUGGAGAGCACUGAUGAGGAGGAUGAAGAAGACAAGGAGAGCAAGGUGGUGUAAAUGCUCCCAUAAUUAAACAGUUAAUAAUGACCAUCAUGUUAAAUUGUCACUGCCUAAUGAAAGUAUGACAGUGUAAUAUGUAACAGGGCAUCAGCAUUGCUGGCUGGACCCUGAGACAGUUUCAUUUCACACAUCCCAAUGAGAACUGUCCAUCAUGCUGUCAAAAGCCUACUCUGGAUAUUUUCCAAGGAGGGAAAUUUGGAAAAAUUUGGGGCUGAAAUGCUGUUGCAGAGCUGCAGCCGGGCAAAAUGGGCAUCCAUGGCAGAGCCUGCAAAUAAAGCAGAUGUUCUGUGGGGAAAUAACUGUUUAAAACUCUUUAAUUUCACCACAUUUUCACCUUUAUUGUCCAGCACUCAUCAUGAU
This is a long non-coding RNA of Corapipo altera (White-ruffed manakin), 1574 nucleotides long. RefSeq lists it as uncharacterized. Lineage: Eukaryota; Metazoa; Chordata; Aves; Passeriformes; Pipridae. The transcript has 4 exons. The record is from RefSeq and is a predicted model, not a curated record.